This 472-nucleotide ribosomal RNA is filed under the name uncultured bacterium. RNAcentral's name for it is "bacterial SSU rRNA". It matches the Rfam family "Bacterial small subunit ribosomal RNA", at positions 330 to 794 of the family's 1533-position model. The record is from RNAcentral.
GCCAGACUCCUACGGGAGGCAGCAGUGGGGAAUAUUGCACAAUGGGCGCAAGCCUGAUGCAGCCAUGCCGCGUGUAUGAAGAAGGCCUUCGGGUUGUAAAGUACUUUCAGCGGGGAGGAAGGCGAUAAGGUUAAUAACCUUGUCGAUUGACGUUACCCGCAGAAGAAGCACCGGCUAACUCCGUGCCAGCAGACGCGGUAAUACGGAGGGUGCAAGCGUUAAUCGGAAUUACUGGGCGUAAAGCGCGCGCAGGCGGGCUGUCAAGACGGAGGUGAAAUCGCCGGGCGCAACCUGGGAACUGCAUUCGAAACUGGCAGGCUGGAGUGUUGUAGAGGGGGGUAGAAUUCCAGGUGUAGCGGUGAAAUGCGUAGAGAUCUGGAGGAAUACCGGUGGCGAAGGCGGCCCCCUGGACAAAGACUGACGCUCAGGUGCGAAAGCGUGGGGAGCAAACAGGAUUAGAUACCCGGGUACU